This 119-nucleotide ribosomal RNA is filed under the name Pteropus alecto (black flying fox). The record is from RNAcentral. Lineage: Eukaryota; Metazoa; Chordata; Mammalia; Chiroptera; Pteropodidae.
GUCUAUGGCCAUGCUACCCUGAACAAGCCCGAUCUCAUCUGAUCUCAGAAGCUAAGCAGGGUCGGGCUUGGUUAGUAUUUGGAUGGGAGACCACCUAGGAAGACUAGGUGCUGUAGGCA